Molecule: unclassified non-coding RNA, 67 nt
Filed under: Gallus gallus (chicken)
Lineage: Eukaryota; Metazoa; Chordata; Aves; Galliformes; Phasianidae
Source: RNAcentral
GUGAGUGGGGUGGCGUGGGGCUGGAGGGCACCUCCCGGUGCUGUGCCCCUUACCCCCCAUUCCUCCA